This 1087-nucleotide ribosomal RNA is filed under the name Pseudomonas aeruginosa. Its description in RNAcentral is "partial 23S ribosomal RNA". It matches the Rfam family "Bacterial large subunit ribosomal RNA", at positions 1141 to 2215 of the family's 2925-position model. Lineage: Bacteria; Pseudomonadati; Pseudomonadota; Gammaproteobacteria; Pseudomonadales; Pseudomonadaceae. The record is from RNAcentral.
CUCACUAGUCGAGUCGGCCUGCGCGGAAGAUGUAACGGGGCUCAAACCACACACCGAAGCUGCGGGUGUCACGUAAGUGACGCGGUAGAGGAGCGUUCUGUAAGCCUGUGAAGGUGAGUUGAGAAGCUUGCUGGAGGUAUCAGAAGUGCGAAUGCUGACAUGAGUAACGACAAUGGGUGUGAAAAACACCCACGCCGAAAGACCAAGGGUUCCUGCGCAACGUUAAUCGACGCAGGGUUAGUCGGUUCCUAAGGCGAGGCUGAAAAGCGUAGUCGAUGGGAAACAGGUUAAUAUUCCUGUACUUCUGGUUACUGCGAUGGAGGGACGGAGAAGGCUAGGCCAGCUUGGCGUUGGUUGUCCAAGUUUAAGGUGGUAGGCUGAAAUCUUAGGUAAAUCCGGGGUUUCAAGGCCGAGAGCUGAUGACGAGUCGUCUUUUAGAUGACGAAGUGGUUGAUGCCAUGCUUCCAAGAAAAGCUUCUAAGCUUCAGGUAACCAGGAACCGUACCCCAAACCGACACAGGUGGUCGGGUAGAGAAUACCAAGGCGCUUGAGAGAACUCGGGUGAAGGAACUAGGCAAAAUGGCACCGUAACUUCGGGAGAAGGUGCGCCGGCUAGGGUGAAGGAUUUACUCCGUAAGCUCUGGCUGGUCGAAGAUACCAGGCCGCUGCGACUGUUUAUUAAAAACACAGCACUCUGCAAACACGAAAGUGGACGUAUAGGGUGUGACGCCUGCCCGGUGCCGGAAGGUUAAUUGAUGGGGUUAGCGCAAGCGAAGCUCUUGAUCGAAGCCCCGGUAAACGGCGGCCGUAACUAUAACGGUCCUAAGGUAGCGAAAUUCCUUGUCGGGUAAGUUCCGACCUGCACGAAUGGCGUAACGAUGGCGGCGCUGUCUCCACCCGAGACUCAGUGAAAUUGAAAUCGCUGUGAAGAUGCAGUGUAUCCGCGGCUAGACGGAAAGACCCCGUGAACCUUUACUGUAGCUUUGCACUGGACUUUGAGCCUGCUUGUGUAGGAUAGGUGGGAGGCUUUGAAGCGUGGACGCCAGUUCGCGUGGAGCCAUCCUUGAAAUACCACCCUGGCAUGCUU